AACGAACGCUGGCGGCGUGCCUAACACAUGCAAGUCGAACGAGAAAGGGGCUUCGGCUCCGAGUAAAGUGGCGCACGGGUGAGUAACACGUGGGUAACCUGCCUCUAAGAUUUGGAUAACUCGUCGACAGAUGAGCUAAUACCGAAUAAGACCACAGUUCCCCGGGAACAGGGGUCAAAGGUAUCCUCUGCUUGCAAGCUAUCACUUAGAGAUGGGCCUGCGCACCAUUAGCUAGUUGGUAGGGUAACGGCCUACCAAGGCAAAGAUGGUUAGCUGGUCUGAGAGGAUGAUCAGCCAAACUGGAACUGAGACACGGUCCAGACUCCUACGGGAGGCAGCAGUGGGGAAUAUUGCGACAUGGGGGAAAGCUUGACGCAGCAACGCCGCGUGAGUGAUGAAGGCCUUCGGGUCGGAAAGCUCUGUCGGGAGGAACGAAUGCUCCUGAGGUUAACAGCCUCGGGAGGUGGCGGUACCUUCAAAGGAAGCACCGGCUAACUCUGUG
This 502-nucleotide ribosomal RNA is filed under the name uncultured bacterium. RNAcentral describes it as "partial 16S ribosomal RNA". It matches the Rfam family "Bacterial small subunit ribosomal RNA", at positions 29 to 507 of the family's 1533-position model. The record is from RNAcentral.